GACGAACGCUGGCGGCGUGCUUAACACAUGCAAGUCGAACGGAAAGGCCCUGCUUUUGUGGGGUGCUCGAGUGGCGAACGGGUGAGUAACACGUGUGUAACCUGCCCUUGACUUUGGGAUAACUUCAGGAAACUGGGGCUAAUACCGGAUAGGAGCUCCUGCUGCAUGGUGUGGGUUGGUAAGUUUCGGCGGUUGGGGAUGGACUCGCGGCUUAUCAGCUUGUUGGUGGGGUAGUGGCUUACCAAGGCUUUGACGGGUAGCCGGCCUGAGAGGGUGACCGGCCACAUUGGGACUGAGAGACGGACCAGACGCCUACGGGAGGCAGCAGUGGGGAAUAUUGCACAAUGGGCGGAAGCCUGAUGCAGCAACGCCGCGUGCGUGAUGACGGCCUUCGGGGUGUAAACCGCUUUCGCCUGUGACGAAGCGUGAGUGACGGUAAUGGGUAAAGAAGCACCGGCUAACUACGUG
Molecule: ribosomal RNA, 468 nt
Filed under: uncultured bacterium
Lineage: Bacteria
Description: partial 16S ribosomal RNA
Rfam family: Bacterial small subunit ribosomal RNA
Source: RNAcentral